ACAGCAGUAGCCGCGGGAAUACGUAGGGUGCAAGCAUUAAUCGGAAUUACUGGGCGUAAAGCGUGCGCAGGCGGUUCGCUAAGACAGAUGUGAAAUCCCCGGGCUUAACCUGGGAACUGCAUUUGUGACUGGCGGGCUAGAGUAUGGCAGAGGGGGGUAGAAUUCCACGUGUAGCAGUGAAAUGCGUAGAGAUGUGGAGGAAUACCGAUGGCGAAGGCAGCCCCCUGGGCCAAUACUGACGCUCAUGCACGAAAGCGUGGGGAGCAAACAGGAUUAGAUACCCCUGUAGUCCCUGUCUCUUAUAC
Molecule: ribosomal RNA, 305 nt
Filed under: uncultured bacterium
Lineage: Bacteria
Description: partial 16S ribosomal RNA
Rfam family: Bacterial small subunit ribosomal RNA
Source: RNAcentral